This 209-nucleotide long non-coding RNA is filed under the name Mustela putorius furo (domestic ferret). RNAcentral's name for it is "lncRNA (ENSMPUG00000029374.1)". The record is from RNAcentral. Lineage: Eukaryota; Metazoa; Chordata; Mammalia; Carnivora; Mustelidae.
CUAAAAGGGAGACUAGAGUGGACCUGGAGCUGGAGGGGGUCUGUGAGGUCGAGAGAAGGAUUCUUUGUUACUGCCGAGAGAUGAUGGCAUGCACGGCUGUUUCUGCACCAGCAGCAGAGCCGAACGAUUGCAACAGAAACUGGAGAGUCGGCAAAGCCCAAGGUGUUUACUAUCCGGCCACUUAGUGGAAAACGUUUGCUAACUCCUUC